This 629-nucleotide ribosomal RNA is filed under the name Salmonella enterica subsp. enterica serovar Bovismorbificans. RNAcentral's name for it is "partial 23S ribosomal RNA". It matches the Rfam family "Bacterial large subunit ribosomal RNA", at positions 2174 to 2802 of the family's 2925-position model. The record is from RNAcentral. Lineage: Bacteria; Pseudomonadati; Pseudomonadota; Gammaproteobacteria; Enterobacterales; Enterobacteriaceae.
GUCUGCAUGGAGCCGGCCUUGAAAUACCACCCUUUAAUGUUUGAUGUUCUAACGUGGACCCGUUACCCGGGUUGCGGACAGUGUCUGGUGGGUAGUUUGACUGGGGCGGUCUCCUCCUAAAGAGUAACGGAGGAGCACGAAGGUUGGCUAAUCCUGGUCGGACAUCAGGAGGUUAGUGCAAUGGCAUAAGCCAGCUUGACUGCGAGCGUGACGGCGCGAGCAGGUGCGAAAGCAGGUCAUAGUGAUCCGGUGGUUCUGAAUGGAAGGGCCAUCGCUCAACGGAUAAAAGGUACUCCGGGGAUAACAGGCUGAUACCGCCCAAGAGUUCAUAUCGACGGCGGUGUUUGGCACCUCGAUGUCGGCUCAUCACAUCCUGGGGCUGAAGUAGGUCCCAAGGGUAUGGCUGUUCGCCAUUUAAAGUGGUACGCGAGCUGGGUUUAGAACGUCGUGAGACAGUUCGGUCCCUAUCUGCCGUGGGCGCUGGAGAACUGAGGGGGGCUGCUCCUAGUACGAGAGGACCGGAGUGGACGCAUCACUGGUGUUCGGGUUGUCAUGCCAAUGGCACUGCCCGGUAGCUAAAUGCGGAAGAGAUAAGUGCUGAAAGCAUCUAAGCACGAAACUUGCCCCGA